AUCAUCCAGUUCCCUUUCCCAUUGGCUCUUAACACUGGUCUUGGUGGUUGCAAAAGUAGAAGAGCAUACUGAAAUUGGCUGCAUAGCCUUAUAAUCUGGUAUGUAGCGUGUGGCUAGAUUCAAACAGGG
This is a small nucleolar RNA of Nannospalax galili (Upper Galilee mountains blind mole rat), 129 nucleotides long. NCBI's taxonomy places the organism in Eukaryota, Metazoa, Chordata, Mammalia, Rodentia, Spalacidae. The record is from Ensembl.